GACGAACGCUGGCGGCGUGCUUAACACAUGCAAGUCGAGCGGUAAGGCCCUUUCGGGGUACGACGAGCGGCGAACGGGUGAGUAACACGUGGGUGACCUGCCCUCAGCUCUGGGAUAAGCCUGGGAAACCGGGUCUAAUACCGGAUAUGACUCCAUGACGCAUGUUGUGGGGUGGAAAGCCUUGUGCGGCUGAGGAUGGGCCCGCGGCCUAUCAGCUUGUUGGUGGGGUGANGGCCUACCAAGGCGACGACGGGUAGCCGGCCUGAGAGGGCGACCGGCCACACUGGGACUGAGACACGGCCCAGACUCCGUACGGGAGGCAGCAGUGGGGAAUCUUGCGCAAUGGGCGAAAGCCUGACGCAGCGACGCGCGUGA
Molecule: ribosomal RNA, 375 nt
Filed under: uncultured bacterium
Lineage: Bacteria
Description: bacterial SSU rRNA
Rfam family: Bacterial small subunit ribosomal RNA
Source: RNAcentral